This 292-nucleotide ribosomal RNA is filed under the name uncultured bacterium. Its description in RNAcentral is "partial 16S ribosomal RNA". It matches the Rfam family "Archaeal small subunit ribosomal RNA", at positions 455 to 747 of the family's 1478-position model. The record is from RNAcentral.
GUGCCAGCAGCCGCGGUAAUACCGGCAGCCCGAGUGAUGACCGAUCUUAUUGGGCCUAAAGCGUCUGUAGCUGGCUACGCAAGUCCGUCGGGAAAUCCACUCGCCCAACGAGUGGGCGUCCGACGGAAACUGCAUAGCUUGGGACCGGAAGGCUCGAGGGGUACGUCCGGGGUAGGAGUGAAAUCCCGUAAUCCUGGACGGACCACCGGUGGCGAAAGCGCCUCGAGAAGACGGACCCGACGGUGAGGAACGAAAGCCAGGGUCUCGAACCGGAUUAGAAACCCGGUAGUCC